Molecule: long non-coding RNA, 341 nt
Filed under: Prunus persica (peach)
Lineage: Eukaryota; Viridiplantae; Streptophyta; Magnoliopsida; Rosales; Rosaceae
Description: long non-coding RNA (PPER_LNC001112)
Source: RNAcentral
AGAACCAUUAUCUGAAUCCAUUCCAUUUACAUCAGAAGAGCCCAUAUCAAAGUCUUCAAGUAUUUCUGGUGACUCUUCAGAAUCACAAUGAGUUACACAACCAGGAUUAAACCUGACACGUUUCUGCGCCUUCACAACCGAGGUAUUGUCUUUCCUUUUCAAUAUAGACUUUGGCUGGCCAACAUCUUCAGGUGAUUUAACAAGCUGCUCCUUAACUUGUGAAGCAGAAGCCGCAGGAGAAUUCAAUUUUCGAGCUUCAGCAUCAUCCUCUUUCAGCCUAAGUCUUGCAGCCAGAAAAUUGGCACGUGGAUCUUUAUUGCUACCAUGAAGCACAUUGUGGG